UUUUCAAGAGCUGUAAAAUGAACUUCAUUCAAAUUUAAGAAGUUAAUGUAUUAGUCCAUAUUGAAAGCACUGCUGAGACAAAUAAUACAAUACUUGACCCGAUCGAUUAUCUUUGAGUUGUGUUAAGUUUUCUUUUGACUACCUCGUUUCCUUGAGUUCACGACAAUGAUGAGAGGCCUAAAUCUUGUGUUUGUUGUAAUGAAACUUGUUGUGCUUGUGGAGAGAAUUGAUUAGGAGCUUCUUGUACUUGUUCCAUUUAUCUCAAAUAUAUACAAU
Molecule: long non-coding RNA, 276 nt
Filed under: Cicer arietinum (chickpea)
Lineage: Eukaryota; Viridiplantae; Streptophyta; Magnoliopsida; Fabales; Fabaceae
Description: long non-coding RNA (CARI_LNC002509)
Source: RNAcentral